GACGAACGCUGGCGGCGUGCUUAACACAUGCAAGUCGAACGGAAAGGCCCUGCUUUUGUGGGGUGCUCGAGUGGCGAACGGGUGAGUAACACGUGAGUAACCUGCCCUUGACUUUGGGAUAACUUCAGGAAACUGGGGCUAAUACCGGAUAGGAGCUCCUGCUGCAUGGUGGGGGUUGGAAAGUUUCGGCGGUUGGGGAUGGACUCGCGGCUUAUCAGCUUGUUGGUGGGGUAGUGGCUUACCAAGGCUUUGACGGGUAGCCGGCCUGAGAGGGUGACCGGCCACAUUGGGCCUGAGAUACGGACCAGACGCCUACGGGAGGCAGCAGUGGGGAAUAUUGCACAAUGGGCGGAAGCCUGAUGCAGCAACGCCGCGUGCGGGAUGCCGGCCUUCGGGUUGUAAACCGCUUUCGCCUGUGACGAAGCGUGAGUGACGGUAAUGGGUAAAGAAGCACCGGCUAACUACGUG
This 468-nucleotide ribosomal RNA is filed under the name uncultured bacterium. RNAcentral describes it as "partial 16S ribosomal RNA". It matches the Rfam family "Bacterial small subunit ribosomal RNA", at positions 28 to 507 of the family's 1533-position model. The record is from RNAcentral.